AUUGAACGCCGGCGGAAUGCUUUACACAUGCAAGUCGAGCGGGGUGAUGGUGCUUGCACUAUCACUUAGCGGCGGACGGGUGAGUAAUGCUUAGGAAUCUGCCUAUUAGUGGGGGACAACAUCUCGAAAGGGAUGCUAAUACCGCAUACGUCCUACGGGAGAAAGCAGGGGAUCACUUGUGACCUUGCGCUAAUAGAUGAGCCUAAGUCGGGUUAGCUAGUUGGUGGGGUAAAGGCCUACCAAGGCGACGAUCUGUAGCGGGUCUGAGAGGAUGAUCCGCCACACUGGGAAUGAGACACGGCCCAGACGCCUACGGGAGGCAGCAGUGGGGAAUAUUGGACAAUGGGGGGAACCCUGAUCCAGCCAUGCCGCGUGUGUGAAGAAGGCCUUAUGGUUGUAAAGCACUUUAAGCGAGGAGGAGGCUCUUUUGGUUAAUACCCAAGAUGAGUGGACGUUACUCGCAGAAUAAGCACCGGCUAACUCUGUGCCAGCCGCCGCCGUAA
This 503-nucleotide ribosomal RNA is filed under the name uncultured bacterium. Its description in RNAcentral is "partial 16S ribosomal RNA". It matches the Rfam family "Bacterial small subunit ribosomal RNA", at positions 30 to 523 of the family's 1533-position model. The record is from RNAcentral.